UGGGGAAUAUUGCACAAUGGGCGAAAGCCUGAUGCAGCAACGCCGCGUGAGUGAUGAAGGUCUUCGGAUUGUAAAGCUCUGUCUUUUGGGACGAUAAUGACGGUACCAAAGGAGGAAGCCACGGCUAACUACGUGCCAGCAGCCGCGGUAAUACGUAGGUGGCGAGCGUUGUCCGGAUUUACUGGGCGUAAAGGGUGCGUAGGCGGAUGUUUAAGUGAGAUGUGAAAUACCCGGGCUUAACUUGGG
Molecule: ribosomal RNA, 246 nt
Filed under: uncultured bacterium
Lineage: Bacteria
Description: partial 16S ribosomal RNA
Rfam family: Bacterial small subunit ribosomal RNA
Source: RNAcentral